RNAcentral lists this ribosomal RNA (1345 nucleotides) under uncultured bacterium. RNAcentral's name for it is "bacterial SSU rRNA". It matches the Rfam family "Bacterial small subunit ribosomal RNA", at positions 28 to 1380 of the family's 1533-position model. The record is from RNAcentral.
GACGAACUUUGGCGGCGUGCUUAACACAUGCAAGUCGAACGGAAAGGCCCUGCUUUUGUGGGGUGCUCGAGUGGCGAACGGGUGAGUAACACGUGAGUAACCUGCCCUUGACUUUGGGAUAACUUCAGGAAACUGGGGCUAAUACCGGAUAGGAGCUCCUGCUGCAUGGUGGGGGUUGGAAAGUUUCGGCGGUUGGGGAUGGACUCGCGGCUUAUCAGCUUGUUGGUGGGGUAGUGGCUUACCAAGGCUUUGACGGGUAGCCGGCCUGAGAGGGUGACCGGCCACAUUGGGACUGAGAUACGGCCCAGACUCCUACGGGGGGCAGCAGUGGGGAAUAUUGCACAAUGGGCGGAAGCCUGAUGCAGCAACGCCGCGUGCGGGAUGACGGCCUUCGGGUUGUAAACCGCUUUCGCCUGUGACGAAGCGUGAGUGACGGUAAUGGGUAAAGAAGCACCGGCUAACUACGUGCCAGCAGCCGCGGUGAUACGUAGGGUGCGAGCGUUGUCCGGAUUUAUUGGGCGUAAAGGGCUCGUAGGUGGUUGAUCGCGUCGGAAGUGUAAUCUUGGGGCUUAACCCUGAGCGUGCUUUCGAUACGGGUUGACUUGAGGAAGGUAGGGGAGAAUGGAAUUCCUGGUGGAGCGGUGGAAUGCGCAGAUAUCAGGAGGAACACCAGUGGCGAAGGCGGUUCUCUGGGCCUUUCCUGACGCUGAGGAGCGAAAGCGUGGGGAGCGAACAGGCUUAGAUACCCUGGUAGUCCACGCUGUAAACGGUGGGUACUAGGUGUGGGGUCCAUUCCACGGGUUCCGUGCCGUAGCUAACGCUUUAAGUACCCCGCCUGGGGAGUACGGCCGCAAGGCUAAAACUCAAAGGAAUUGACGGGGCCCCGCACAAGCGGCGGAGCAUGCGGAUUAAUUCGAUGCAACGCGUAGAACCUUACCUGGGUUUGACAUGGAUCGGGAGUGCUCAGAGAUGGGUGUGCCUCUUUUGGGGUCGGUUCACAGGUGGUGCAUGCCUGUCGUCAGCUCGUGUCGUGAGAUGUUGGGUUAAGUCCCGCAACGAGCGCAACCCUUGUUCACUGUUGCCAGCACGUUAUGGUGGGGACUCAGUGGAGACCGCCGGGGUCAACUCGGAGGAAGGUGGGGAUGACGUCAAGUCCUCAUGCCCCUUAUGUCCAGGGCUUCACGCAUGCUACAAUGGCUGGUACAGAGAGUGGCGAGCCUGUGAGGGUGAGCGAAUCUCGGAAAGCCGGUCUCAGUUCGGAUUGGGGUCUGCAACUCGACCUCAUGAAGUCGGAGUCGCUAGUAAUCGCAAAGCAGCAACGCUGCGGUGAAUACGUUCCCGGGGC